Molecule: ribosomal RNA, 350 nt
Filed under: Meridacris subaptera
Lineage: Eukaryota; Metazoa; Arthropoda; Insecta; Orthoptera; Acrididae
Description: partial 12S ribosomal RNA
Source: RNAcentral
AAGUGUAAAUUAGAUUUACCAGGGUACUAUUAGUUAGGAUCUUUAAACCCAAAGAAUUUGGCGGUAUCUCAUACCAUUCAGAGGAACCUACCCCAUGAUUGAUAGUACACGAUUAACUUUACUUAGUUUAUUUGUUUGUAUAUCUCCGUUAUCAGAAAAUCUUUUUAGAGUUAUAAUUUUCCAGAUUUAUAAUUAUAAAAUAUUUCAGGUCAAGGUGCAGCUUAUAAUUAAGAGGAGGUGGGUUACAAUAAGGUUUUACUUAUAAUGGAUUUAAUAGUGAAAUACUAUUAAUGAAGGUGGAUUUGAUUGUAAUUUGAAUUAUUUACUUUAAUUGAUAUUGGCUCUGAGGU